ACCUGGCUGGCUCAGUCAGUAGAGCAGGCGACUCUUGAUCUCCAGGCUGUGUGUUCAAGCCCCACAUUGGGUG
RNAcentral lists this transfer RNA (73 nucleotides) under Felis catus (domestic cat). It matches the Rfam family "tRNA". From Rfam's summary of the family: Transfer RNA (tRNA) molecules are approximately 80 nucleotides in length. Lineage: Eukaryota; Metazoa; Chordata; Mammalia; Carnivora; Felidae. The record is from Rfam by way of RNAcentral. RNAcentral also lists the same sequence under 2 other names.